RNAcentral lists this long non-coding RNA (1018 nucleotides) under Phasianus colchicus (ring-necked pheasant). Its description in RNAcentral is "lncRNA (ENSPCLG00000017971.1)". The record is from RNAcentral. Lineage: Eukaryota; Metazoa; Chordata; Aves; Galliformes; Phasianidae.
CAGGUAUGUUUGUGGUGAUUAGCUCUUAGAGAAUUUCUUUAGCUUUUUGAAUUUUUUCUUGUGAACAGGGGCCCUUUACCACUUCACUUAUAGAUUGAGCCACAUACCAGUGAAAUUGAUUUUGCUUCAGCAACUGGAUUUUCAGCUUGAGCUGUGGUAGCAUUUGGAGCAGAGUCUGUGCAGAAUAUCAGACAGCAGACUUGAACAACUGCUUGGAUAGGAGCAGAGCCUGAGAAAUUGCAGUGUUUGGAGCAUUUGGCCAUGUAACCAAGCAUCAGCAGAGUAUUAAGGAGGCUUACUCUGAGUUUGUUCUGACCUACCUAGAGGAACUAAAUGAAAGAGGAGAUGACCCAGACAAAAAGCUGCAUUCACCAUUGGGCCUAGUCUUCAGUGCAUCAGGAGAUAGAAUCGGCAGCUCAGCUGAAGAGGUCACAGUAUUAAGCCAGAGGCAGGUUCUGCAAAAAAAUAUCAGCAAUCUCAAUCAGAAACAACUUUCAGGACCUUUGGACGCCCAUUUAAUGCCUGCAGAUCCCCUAGGGGAGACUACACAGCUGACAGUGGCACUGGUGAGGAAACUAGAAGAGAAACAUCCUAAGGCCUCAGCUCAAAGUGCCUCCUAACUAGUUCAGAACUCGUCCAGAUGAAGUUAAAGAAAGGGACUGAGCAUGUGAUACCAAUCAUUGCUCAUGACUGAUGUGUGAAAACUUUUUCUCUGGAUGCUAAUUGUGAGACCAUUCUGUGGUAAGGACAACUAAAUAAGCUAUGGUAGGCUCAAUAUAUUGAGUUUUGUAUGGGGAAAGCAAAGUACUGUGUAUAGACGUUUUUCUCUUUUUCUGAGAGUUUCAAAAAUAUGUUUGCUGUCAGAAAGGCUGAGGUUUUUAAUCUAGUAUGAGUGUGUAUAUUCUGGAAAACUAGAUUUGAGAAAAUAGGUAAGGAUGUUUCUUAUGGCUCAGUAAGGAUGCUGUCAAAGUUACCACUGGUAAAUAAACUUCACACAUAUUCAGCCUGGAAAUAAAAC